GAUGAAGAACGUAGCGAAAUGCGAUACGUAAUGUGAAUUGCAGAAUUCAGUGAAUCAUCGAGUCUUUGAACGCACAUUGCGCCCCCUGGUAUUCCGGGGGGCAUGCCUGUCCGAGCGUCAUUGCUGCCCUCAAGCACGGCUUGUGUGUUGGGCCUCCGUCCUCCUCCCGGGGGACGGGCCCGAAAGGCAGCGGCGGCACCGCGUCCGGUCCUCGAGCGUAUGGGGCUUCGUCACCCGCUCUUGUAGGCCCGGCCGGCGCUUGCCGACACAUCAAUCUUUUUUCCAGGUUGACCUCGGAUCAGGUAGGGAUACCCGCUGAACUUAAGCAUACCAAUAAGCGGAGGA
Molecule: unclassified non-coding RNA, 345 nt
Filed under: soil metagenome
Description: partial contains 5.8S ribosomal RNA, internal transcribed spacer 2, and large subunit ribosomal RNA
Rfam family: 5.8S ribosomal RNA (bases 1-120)
Source: RNAcentral